GACGAACGCUAGCUACAGGCUUAACACAUGCGAGUCGCGGGGCAGCAUGGGGGUUGCUUGCAAUCCCCGAUGGCGACCGGCGCACGGGUGAGUAACGCGUAUCCAACCUGCCCUUCACCACGGGAUAACCCGGCGAAAGUCGGACUAAUACCGUAUGUUGUCCAUUGACGGCAUCCGAUUUGGACGAAAGGUUUGGCGGUGAAGGAUGGGGAUGCGUCCGAUUAGCUGGACGGCGGGGUGACGGCCCACCGUGGCGACGAUCGGUAGGGGUUCUGAGAGGAAGGUCCCCCACACUGGAACUGCGACACGGUCCAGACUCCUACGGGAGGCAGCAGUGAGGAAUAUUGGUCAAUGGGCGUAAGCCUGAACCAGCCAAGUAGCGUGCAGGAUGACGGCCCUAUGGGUUGUAAACUGCUUUUAUGCGGGGAUAAAGUGGCCCACGUGUGGGUUUUUGCAGGUACCGCAUGAAUAAGGACCGGCUAAUUCCGUG
This 490-nucleotide ribosomal RNA is filed under the name uncultured bacterium. Its description in RNAcentral is "partial 16S ribosomal RNA". It matches the Rfam family "Bacterial small subunit ribosomal RNA", at positions 28 to 507 of the family's 1533-position model. The record is from RNAcentral.